CCUACGGGAGGCAGCAGUGGGGAAUAUUGCACAAUGGGGGAAACCCUGAUGCAGCAACGCCGCGUGAGUGAGGAAGUAUUUCGGUAUGUAAAGCCCUAUCAGCAGGGAAUAGAAAAGAAGGUACCUGAAAAAGAAGCCCCGGCUAACUCCGUGCCAGCAGCCGCGGUAAUACGGAGGGUGCGAGCUUUAAUCGGAAUUACUGGGCGUAAAGGGCUUGUAGGCGGUAUGUCAAGUCAAGGGUGAAAUCCCCGCGCUCAACGUGGGAACUGCCUUUGAAACUGGCAAACUGGAGUGUGUGAGAGGAUAGUGGAAUUCCAGGUGUAGGGGUGAAAUCCGUAGAUAUCGGGAGGAACAUCAGUGGCGAAGGCGACUAUCUGGCACAUAACUGACGCUGAGGAACGAAAGCGUGGGUAGCGAACAGGAUUAGAUACCCCUGUAGUC
This 441-nucleotide ribosomal RNA is filed under the name uncultured bacterium. Its description in RNAcentral is "partial 16S ribosomal RNA". It matches the Rfam family "Bacterial small subunit ribosomal RNA", at positions 338 to 795 of the family's 1533-position model. The record is from RNAcentral.